AGGAUAGUAGUUAAUAUAUAACAUUUAAGUUGCAUUUAAAAAUAAUUGAUUUUCAAUUUAUCUUU
RNAcentral lists this transfer RNA (65 nucleotides) under Callimerus sp. RNAcentral describes it as "tRNA-Ala". Lineage: Eukaryota; Metazoa; Arthropoda; Insecta; Coleoptera; Cleridae. The record is from RNAcentral.